This 465-nucleotide ribosomal RNA is filed under the name uncultured bacterium. Its description in RNAcentral is "partial 16S ribosomal RNA". It matches the Rfam family "Bacterial small subunit ribosomal RNA", at positions 28 to 507 of the family's 1533-position model. The record is from RNAcentral.
GACGAACGCUGGCGGCGUGCUUAACACAUGCAAGUCGAACGGAAAGGCCCUGCUUGCCGGGUACUCGAGUGGCGAACGGGUGAGUAACACGUGGGUGAUCUGCCCUGCACUUCGGGAUAAGCCUGGGAAACUGGGUCUAAUACCGGAUAGGAGCCAUUUUUAGUGUGAUGGUUGGAAAGUUUUUUCGGUGUAGGAUGAGCUCGCGGCCUAUCAGCUUGUUGGUGGGGUACUGGCCUACCAAGGCGGCGACGGGUAGCCGGCCUGUGAGGGUGGACGGCCACCUUGGGACUGGGAUACGGCCCAGACUCCUACGAGAGGCAGCAGUGGGGAAUAUUGCACCAUGGGCGCCAGCCUGUUGCAGCGACGCCGCGUGGGGGAUGACGGCCCUCGGGUUGUAAACUCCUUUCGCUUGGGACGAAGCUUUUUGUGACGGUACCUAGAUAAGAAGCGCCGGCUAACUACGUG